RNAcentral lists this unclassified non-coding RNA (455 nucleotides) under Hevea brasiliensis (rubber tree). Lineage: Eukaryota; Viridiplantae; Streptophyta; Magnoliopsida; Malpighiales; Euphorbiaceae. The record is from RNAcentral.
CAAAACCUAUUGUCAAAAAUACUUCAAAUAAUUCAAUUAUUACGGGCAAGGGCUCUCCUCCAAAUAUAAGCUCUGGUAGAUCUAUUGCACUUCCAGCAGCAGCCUCAUGGGGGAUGCGUGCCUCUAGUCAGCCACAAGCUACUACUUCUACAUCUUCAAAUGGACCUACUAAACCAAAACCGGACACAGUUAAUGGCACAUUAGGCUUCGCAGCAGCAGUUGCAAAUACAAAUCAGGCUACUACAUUGCAUAGUGAUGUGGGAAAAAGGGCAACUUGGAAUGAGGACAGUCAAACUACGAAUGGUAAAGGCAAACAAGAUCCUUUGACAUCCGUUAAACAGAAUGUUGAAGAUUCUCCAUCCAGUGCGCCAGACAAACCAGCCACAGUUCAUGCUAAUCAUGCUGUAACAUUAAGUAAUCAGUCAUCUAGUUCUCCAACUGAUCACAAUGACUGG